UACGUAGGGUGCAAGCGUUAAUCGGAAUUACUGGGCGUAAAGCGUGCGCAGGCGGUUGUGCAAGACAGAUGUGAAAUCCCCGGGCUUAACCUGGGAACUGCAUUUGUGACUGUACGGCUAGAGUGCGGCAGAGGGGGAUGGAAUUCCGCGUGUAGCAGUGAAAUGCGUAGAGAUGCGGAGGAACACCGAUGGCGAAGGCAGCCCCCUGGGUUGACACUGACGCUCAGGCACGAAAGCGUGGGGAGCAAACAGG
This 253-nucleotide ribosomal RNA is filed under the name uncultured bacterium. RNAcentral's name for it is "partial 16S ribosomal RNA". It matches the Rfam family "Bacterial small subunit ribosomal RNA", at positions 524 to 776 of the family's 1533-position model. The record is from RNAcentral.